RNAcentral lists this unclassified non-coding RNA (323 nucleotides) under Hevea brasiliensis (rubber tree). Lineage: Eukaryota; Viridiplantae; Streptophyta; Magnoliopsida; Malpighiales; Euphorbiaceae. The record is from RNAcentral.
AGAUAGGUUCAGUUCACCUUAGAGCAAUCGGUGGAUGCCACGACUGCAAUGGGUACGCUAGCACGACAUUUCUGUGGGAGUCCCGCGAGAAGGUCCGGUUUGAGGCGGGAGAUAGAGCUAAUGAAUCUCUUGAUGCAGACACAAGCAGUCUGGCGGUCAAGGGUCGUGGCUUCUAUGGAUUUGAGCUUACUAACUCCAGCGCAGCAACCAACGGGAACAGGCCCGUCGCUGCGAACAUAGCUGAUGCAGGGGUAUAACAUAGGCACAACCUGGCCACAUUUCAAGGCCGAGCCAAUCCGAGGCGCCGUGGCCGUCAGGAGGAU